GUACUUUGAAAUAACGGCCGUUGUUCGGCCUGCCACUGGAUAUCGUCAUUUCACACCCCAGUAAAAAGGCACAUGUGUUCUUCCAUCAAAUACAGGUUUUGCUGGUUGGCCGCCUGUAUUUCAUAAUAUCGUGGACGGCAUAUGCCUGCGUAUCUUACCUUAUUCUGAGAAGGAUUCACAAGGCUGCCAAAGGUGGCCGAGGUACCAAACAUCGUUGAGAACCCCGUUAACUGUACAGUUUCGGGGGGAGCUGCGAAGCCUAAACAGAUAAACAUCAGUCCAAGGUGGUGAAUGGCAGCUAGAGAUACACCCAGCAGCUACAGGAACCCAAGGAGGGGAUUGACUCCGCUUCGGAGAUUCCUGAGCUGCAUCUGGAAUGAAGCCUGAAGAGGAGGAGAGAGAAGCAGGAGGUCACUUGCCGGGAGGGACCUGAACGAGCACGGGACCCCGAAGCCACCAGGCCUCUGUGGAAGCAAGGAGUACCGAGUGUGAAAAGCUUCCUUGCUGUGCUGAGCCCUGGGGGUUCAAAAAUGAAUCAGCGACAGUCUGCAUGGUCGAUGCCAACAUCCGGGUUGACUGCUUUCAGUUGAAUUCAACAACCAAAUGCCUGUUUUGUGCAAGGCUCUUUUCCAGGCACCGAGGAAGCAGCAAGCUGGAUAAAUCCUGGAGGUUCCUCCAGCCGGUGGGACAAAAGAACCAAGUGAGAAUUGAAUGGUGUUUCUUACUGUCUUUUGGCUGAUGGAAAGUUUGAGAAUCUGAUGGAAGUUAUGAGUCUUCUCUCUCUCAAAAAAAAAAACAAAACAAAGCACGUAUGUGCACACACACGCAGUUUUGCAAUGAUUUUAGAGUAUUUGGAGAUCUCCCUCCAUCCCCCACCAAGUUUGUCCAUAGAAUGACCUUAGGGUGAGUAUUUUGGGCAUGAAAUGAAAUAGUAAUGCCUUGAAGGAAGCACAAAGCCAUAGUCACUGACUAGAAAGAGAGAUUAGAGAUAAGAUCCAGGUGGGUCAGAGGGGCCGGUGGGGUUGGUAGGAUAGGUAUGUUUUGAUAGACAGGCCUGUCUAGUUAGAGGUCAGGUAUUAGUCUCUGGGAGGCAGCAUUCCAGCAGACGGAAAAGUCUGAGAAAGGGAAGGAGGGUAGGAAGUAGGAAAACUCAAACAAUCCGACAAGCUGAGUUUGGCAGGAGGAAGGUUACAUGACGAGGAAUCAUCAGAAUCAUUAGAAACAAUCACAGAAAGGCAGAGGUCGUAUUUUGAGUGACAUUGGAAGCAAGGUGAGGAUUCUCCCACCCAUCCUCCCCCCAGUAAAAUAUCUGUAAUUCCUUUUAUUUAGUUAUUUUUUUUAGGUAAGGGUUUUGGGGUAUGAUUAAUACAUACUCACUGUAAUGAAUUAAGGAAUAGCAAAAAUCAGAAAUUCUCAUAGAACUUGAUCUCUGCUAAUUGUUGGUAUGUUUUAUUCUAGUUUCUGCACAUCCUCAUUCAUCAUCACUGUCCCAACUCAGACCCACCACCCUUGUUAUAAAAUAAGUCCUGUAAAUUUACCAGUUUUUAUAACUCUUCUCCAUGUUUAUGUUCAUUUAAAGCAUAAUAAACAUUUCAUACAAAU
RNAcentral lists this long non-coding RNA (1602 nucleotides) under Ursus maritimus (polar bear). Its description in RNAcentral is "lncRNA (ENSUMAG00000025372.1)". Lineage: Eukaryota; Metazoa; Chordata; Mammalia; Carnivora; Ursidae. The record is from RNAcentral.